RNAcentral lists this transfer RNA (71 nucleotides) under Minisyncoccota bacterium. Its description in RNAcentral is "tRNA-Met". It matches the Rfam family "tRNA". From Rfam's summary of the family: Transfer RNA (tRNA) molecules are approximately 80 nucleotides in length. The record is from RNAcentral. Lineage: Bacteria; Bacillati; Minisyncoccota.
AGCGGGUUAGAGAAACGGUGUCUCGUCAGGCUCAUAACCUGAAGAAUGGGGUUCGACUCCCCGACCCGCAA